UAUUGCAUCAUUCACCGCCGCCGGUGUCCGCUCGGUGCCGCGCCGCGGCGCUAGGGGGCGCUGUCCUCCCGCCGCAGCCGCUGGCUGGUGGCGCGCGCCGUUCUGGAAGGUUCGGGCACCGCCGCGGGGGGGCCCGGCCGGGGCGGGGGGGCUGAACCGCCAGCUCCCGGCUGCCCCCCAGCAGCGCCCCCCGUUUCCCGGGCCGCCGUGCCCGCCGUGCCUGUCGGCAGCGGGGAGGGCGGGGCGGGCCCCCCAGCUGCUCCCCCGGACGUUCCCGCGAUGCCGCGGCCCCUCCAGCGCCGCGCGGUCGCGGCAGGUGCGGGAAGGGGUCCUCGGUCCUCGUCGUGUCCUCCCGCCGCCGCCGCCUCCUGGGCCAGCAGCAGGCGGGGAGGGGCUCCGGGGGUGCCUCUCCGGGAAGCGGCCCCGGCCCCAUUCCCCCCGCCCGGGAAGCCGCUGCCCCGGGACGGGGCUUUGGUGGCCCGAUAACCGGGCAAGUCGUGUCAGCGCAACGGGCGGGUCCGCGGUUGCGGGAGGGGGCGGGCGGGGCGCGCCCCCGUAACGUCCCCGGUCACGGUCCCGCAUAGCCCCGGUCACAGCCCUGCACGGCCCCGGGCACGGUCCCGCAUGGCCGCGGCCGCACUCCCGCAGGGACCGGCUGUGCAGAGGCAAAGAUGCGUUGAAACACGUCGCUAUAGACCGCGGGCACCAGGCAGCGCGUAUCUUUUCCUAAUGUCGACUUACUGCGCUGGUUUCUUUUUCUUGCCUCCUGUCCCUGUCCCCAUCCCCCCGUUUGGCUUUUUCCUUACUCCUUUAUUGACAAAAAAAUCUCGGUGUAACUCCUGCGGAUAAGUGCUCUUAAAGGUUGUCUUUGAGGAAUGCUGAACCCAAGUCUUCAGAAAGAGAAGGGGGGGAACCCCAACCAAACCAAACCAGACCCCAACCCGUUCUAAAUCCAGGUCUUUUCUCUCUCUGUCGGGCCGGGAUCCCCUGGAGGCCUCUGCACCGACUGCAGCACAAACCCGCAGCGCAAACCUGCAAUUCCAAAUGAAUGCCUGCACGUUCUGCCACCGCUUCACCAAAACAGUGAGAACAUUGGCGCCUGUUUCAUGGCAAGUUACUUGAUCAUGAUUUAUUAAGGGGAAAGAAAAGCUCUGGAAAUAGAGGGGGGUUUAAUUAACUGAAUCGUUACAGGGUUGGUUGUUAAAAUCGUAUUAAGCAGGUAUCUGAUGAUCUCCGUCCUAGAUUGGGUAAUCUCAUAGUUUCCAAUGGUUAGUGAGUGUUUUAACCACUGAAGCAUGAGGUUGGUUUUUUUUUUUUCUUUCUCUCCUAAAAGAGUGGAUUGUUGUCCACACAAUCAUUUUUUGCCAUUUUGACCAUGCUAACAUUUUUUGCUCAGUCUUUGGCUGGCAGAUGAGAAAGCUAAAUCUGAACACACUGUUCUUGGCAAUGACUUGUCUUUCCACUCUUCCAGUCAGUGGUAUCAUGAUUUCCAUGUUAAAUUCUGUUUACUUCUCGUUGUGAAGGCACUCCAUUUUACCCCCAUUGUUUCCCAGUUACCUGUUUGCCUUGGGCCUUUCUCUUCAUCCCUGACAGCGUGUGAGUGGCAUCAGCUUGUGCCAUGAGCAGAUACCACAUUCCCACUAGUUGCUCCUACUUUGCAAAAUCUUCACAGCAAAAAGCAAGCAAAUGCACAGCUGAAAAAAGCGUUAACCAGCUGAGGGGCGUUCUGGCAGACCUCGCUGCCCAAAAGACCUGCAGAGCCAUCUCUGGGGAUGAGCAGCCCUGCCUGGGGAUACCUGCCAUCCACGUUCCUCACCCUGGCACCCAGCAACCCCUCAGAGCCCCCCAGAGCCCAUAGGAAGGUGCUUUCGUAAAGCAAUAUUCCUGCAUUUGCAGGUUGGAAUUUUAGAACAGAAUUCAUAAUGGUUCACAGUCACCUGUUGGAUUUUUACUGCUCUGUAAUAACAAAAAUUAAGUAAUUUUCAAGUGUGAAACAGUUUAAUUUGUCCAGGUUGAUGGGUUUAAAAAGAAUACAUCAUAAAUGCUCAAGGUGCCUUUUGUGUGCAAUUGCUCUCUUUGUACACCACCACCUCCAAUACAAAUGGAUUCCUUUUCCCAAGUCAGCAUUUCUUAUUUGUACAACUGCUCAAAUUGUUUGUGUGGCAAGAAAUAAAGCUCUCUAAUGUCCUGGUUUAUAUGUACAGUAGAAAGGCUUGGGGCUUACCCUAGGACAAGCUAGGCAAGCUCCUGCUGGACCAUUCUUUUCCAGACCUCCUGCCCUUGAUGGGGACUUUCAGGGGAGACACCCCCCCCCCCGCCCUUGGAAGGCUGUUUGGUGCACUUGGUCACCAGAAUGCUGCUGUUCCCCCAGCAGCUGCCCCGUGCCAUGGGGCUGCCCGUGGGAGCGGGCUGUGAUCCAGCCAUGCUGCACAAGCAGGAGCCCAGUGCUGCAGACCCCAAGCCCCCUGAGCCAGGGUGCAAGCCCAGAGGCAUCACAAGCCCUAUAAAAGGGUUUAGGCCAGAGGCUACAAUAAAAGCUGACUCACUUUGCUCCAUUUGUUCACCUGCUGUGAAAGGCCAUGCUGUGUCCUGAGCACUUGUAAGAGCAAGCGGCUGUCAAGAUUUCGAGUGCCAGUCCUCACUAUCUCCUUAAAGUUUUUCCUGUAUCUGUUUUACUUGUAUGGGAAACAGUUAUUCUUGUAUCUCUGAAUGCUGAAACCAAACACAACUGAAAUAAAUUUAAAAAAAAUG
Falco peregrinus (peregrine falcon) is the source of this 2751-nucleotide long non-coding RNA. RefSeq lists it as uncharacterized. Lineage: Eukaryota; Metazoa; Chordata; Aves; Falconiformes; Falconidae. The transcript is spliced from 2 exons. The record is from RefSeq and is a predicted model, not a curated record.